UACGGAGGGUGCAAACGUUGCUCGGAAUCAUUGGGCGUAAAGCGCACGUAGGCGGCCACGUAAGUCGGAUGUGAAAGCCCUCGGCUCAACCGAGGAAGUGCAUUCGAAACUGUGUGGCUUGAGUACGGGAGAGGGCUGUGGAAUUCCCGGUGUAGAGGUGAAAUUCGUAGAUAUCGGGAGGAACACCAGUGGCGAAGGCGGCAGCCUGGACCGAUACUGACGCUGAGGUGCGAAAGCGUGGGGAGCAAAC
RNAcentral lists this ribosomal RNA (250 nucleotides) under uncultured bacterium. Its description in RNAcentral is "partial 16S ribosomal RNA". It matches the Rfam family "Bacterial small subunit ribosomal RNA", at positions 524 to 773 of the family's 1533-position model. The record is from RNAcentral.